Molecule: ribosomal RNA, 811 nt
Filed under: Cornufer latro
Lineage: Eukaryota; Metazoa; Chordata; Amphibia; Anura; Ceratobatrachidae
Description: Platymantis latro partial 16S ribosomal RNA
Rfam family: Bacterial large subunit ribosomal RNA
Source: RNAcentral
UAAUACCACCCACCCUUACCAACCCAUAAUCCCUAUUAGAUAAUUCCGUGUAUCAUGGAAGAUAUUAUGCUUGAACUAGUAACAAGAAUUUGUAAUUCUCCUAAAUGUAAGUAUAAGCCACAAUAGACCAACUACCGGCAAUUAACACCAAUAAACCUAUUACAGCAACCCUCAAGAAAACCCUGUAAAAUUAAACGUUAACCUUACACAAGAACAUUUCAGGAAAGAUUAAAAGGAAGAGAAGGAACUCGGCAAUUAAUAACCCCGCCUGUUUACCAAAAACAUCGCCUCUUGCUUUAAUAUAAGAGGUCCAGCCUGCCCAGUGAUUCUUCAACGGCCACGGUAUCCUAACCGUGCUAAGGUAGCGCAAUUACUUGUCCCUUAAAUGGGGACCCGAAUGAAUGGCACCACGAGGGUUAUACUGUCUCCUCCCCCCAAUCAGUGAAACUGACCUCCCUGUGAAAAGGCAGGGAUAAAAAUACUAGACGAGAAGACCCCAUGGAGCUUUAGACUCUAAGCAAGUUAGAUUAAAUCCUAAAAAUCCAAAACCUAUGCCUCCGAGUCUUUGGCUGGGGCGACCAUGGAGAAAGAACAAACCUCCACGCCGAACGGAUAAUGCCUUAUCCACGAACUACACCUCCAAGAAACAGCAUACUGACGACCUCUGAUCCGGAUUCCGAUCAACGAACCAAGUUACCCUGGGGAUAACAGCGCCAUCUACCUUGAGAGUUCAUAUCGACAGGUGGGUUUACGACCUCGAUGUUGGAUCAGGGUAUCCUAGUGGUGCAGCCGCUACAUAAGGUUCGUUUGU